GCCAUUUUGGCUCAGUGGAUAGAGCGUCAGCCUGCGGACCAAAGGGUCCCAGGUUCAAUUCCUGGUUAAGGGCA
Molecule: non-coding RNA, 74 nt
Organism: Myotis brandtii (Brandt's bat)
Lineage: Eukaryota; Metazoa; Chordata; Mammalia; Chiroptera; Vespertilionidae
Source: Rfam